GCGGCCAUAGUCUAGUCAGGUUAGGAUUUCGGCUUCCCGAGCCGAGGGCCCGGGUUCAAAUCCCGGUGGCCGCA
Molecule: transfer RNA, 74 nt
Filed under: Thermoproteota archaeon
Lineage: Archaea; Thermoproteati; Thermoproteota
Description: tRNA-Gly
Rfam family: tRNA
About the family: Transfer RNA (tRNA) molecules are approximately 80 nucleotides in length. Their secondary structure includes four short double-helical elements and three loops (D, anti-codon, and T loops). Further hydrogen bonds mediate the characteristic L-shaped molecular structure. tRNAs have two regions of fundamental functional importance: the anti-codon, which is responsible for specific mRNA codon recognition, and the 3' end, to which the tRNAs corresponding amino acid is attached (by aminoacyl-tRNA synthetases). tRNAs cope with the degeneracy of the genetic code in two manners: having more than one tRNA (with a specific anti-codon) for a particular amino acid; and 'wobble' base-pairing, i.e. permitting non-standard base-pairing at the 3rd anti-codon position.
Source: RNAcentral